CCUAGACUCCACAACUUAAGCCCUAAAUAUUGAGUGGUUCUACUAAGGCAUUGUCCCUUAAUCUUGGGUUGAGUGCAAAACUGCCUCUGGGGCAAAGUGGUUACUGUCCUUGUCCCUGUCUCCUAAAUUACCUUCUUUGUAAACAGCCCAAGUAAAAUGAAACAGCCCAAGUAAAAUGGGACUCCAGGGAAUGGCUGGCACACCACUGAACUGUUUGAACAUCAGAUCACAGGGAAACUCCACGAAGAGCCUAGAAGAAGGCAAACAGUUAUGUGACUGACGUCUCAGCCACGCAUUUGAUAGUAACUCAAGAUCUGAGCUGAGAGAAACCGGAGUCCUUGAAAGGCGGCUAACGGCGCCCCUCCCCACCGCCUGCCAGUCGCUCUACGUGGAUACAGAUAUGACUUGCUUUUGUUACAGUUGGAUCACAGAACCUCAGGCCUUGAAUGGAUCCUUGACUUUCUCAUAUUUGGACAAACAACAGCUUCAAAGUUGCCUACAAUGUACUAAACAAAGAUAGGAGAACUGCCCCAGAUAUGAUGAAAUUGUUUCCUGUAUGUGAAUGUUGAGAUUUAAGGAAAUGUCAUGAUUCCCCUUUGACUCACAUGUAAAUUCUUUUUUAUUUUUUUUUUUUGAAUGUUACUGCCUUUGAGACUUGCAAAUAGUUAAACCAGUUUACAUAGUUCUUUUUUCCCUUUCUUUUUAAGUACAGCUCUUAAGUAAGCAGACACUUUAACUUGCCUUCUUAUUAGACAGCCUUUUCUUUAUUGCUUUUUCAUAGCACAGCUAUCAAAAAUGAGAUAAUGUGCAAGAUCUGGGACCUAAUCAGCUUUCUAGCUGAGUUUAAAGAGUCCAGAGCCUGUUUAAAGGUAGCUCUGGUUAUGUGUGAGGGCCUACUGCAGUGUUUGUCCUGCCACAUUUUGAUGGAGAGGGUAAUGUGUUUGCUAGAUAAGGCAAAAGGGACCAGCCAAAAAAGCAAGGCUCUGUUUGAUAAACCCUGACAUAGUUAGCCAUUUUUCUCCCACAUGAAAGGAAGCUUUAAAACCCCAAGGAAAAAAGAGGUGUCCACUCAAGCACACUAAUGUUUAUCGAGACAAAAAAAGUAAAUAAAGAAAAUUGGCAUCUUUUAGUCUAUUAAAUUAAUUAGCUCUAGAGCUUAUCAUGGAAUUGAAAAGCUGGAUAAAAUACAAGUCUAUUUCUUGUUGCUGUUAUUUGAUGUGAAAGGUGAGUUCUUUACGUCAGUGUACAUUGAAAAGACAGUUACUUUGUUUGGCUUGUCUCGCUCUGGUAGAAGACUUGAACUCUACAGGAAGGAGUUCAUGAGCCGAAGUUGCACUUUUAUAAUGCUGACUGGUGUGGACUUGGGAUGAGAACUCAGUCUGACAUUAGUGUUAAACAUACACGAUGACAUUCUCUGUCAAGUGAUCUAUAGCCUGAAAACAGAUUUACAAAGCCAGAAUAAAAAUAUGCCACCUGACAUCUACUCAUAAAUAGAGGUCAGUUCUAAAAGUCCAAUUAAAAUAAGUUCAUACAUAAAGAUGUUUUAAAAUAAAAUGGCUUUACAAUCUAGAAUGAUGUGAAAGUCCUGGAGGUGAACUAUUGGCACAGGUGAGACACUUAUAAUAAUUGUCCUUUUCUAGGAAAAAUAAAGGGACAAAAUAUCAGAAAUCUUCCUAAAAUAGAGCUGUCUCUUGAAAUAAGAAUUUAGAUGAUAUAAGUUUGAAGAUUAUUUGGGGCUCGAUUUUUAUAGUAUGAUCACUUCCAGUUAAUUUAGAAAGAAAUAUCAAUCCUAGGUCAAUAUCUUAGUAAAACUUUCUACUUUUUUUCUUUAGAAAAGAUACUCCUCUGAUGUCUUGAUUUUCUAAAUCCCAAGUAUUUGAUAA
Molecule: long non-coding RNA, 1883 nt
Organism: Mustela erminea (ermine)
Lineage: Eukaryota; Metazoa; Chordata; Mammalia; Carnivora; Mustelidae
Exons: 3
Source: RefSeq, a predicted model, not a curated record